RNAcentral lists this small RNA (990 nucleotides) under Pan troglodytes (chimpanzee). RNAcentral's name for it is "retained intron". Lineage: Eukaryota; Metazoa; Chordata; Mammalia; Primates; Hominidae. The record is from RNAcentral.
GUCUGGGCUUCCGAGUAUGUUUUAUGACGGUUGAUUUUACACCAGGAGGUUUGUCUCCGAGGAAGACCCAGGGAACUGGAUAUCUAGCGAGAACUUCCUCCGGAUUCCCCGGCGCCUCGGGAAAAUGGGAGCUGCUGCAAAGUUGGCGUUUGCCGUCUUUCUUAUCUCCUGUUCUUCAGGUGCUAUACUUGGUAGAUCAGAAACUCAGGAGUGUCUUUUCUUUAAUGCUAAUUGGGAAAAAGACAGAACCAAUCAAACUGGUGUUGAACCAUGUUAUGGUGACAAAGAUAAACGGCGGCAUUGUUUUGCUACCUGGAAGAAUAUUUCUGGUUCCAUUGAAAUAGUGAAACAAGGUUGUUGGCUGGAUGAUAUCAACUGCUAUGACAGGUAAGAACGCAUUUAAGAUUUUAUGGUAGUAUUGAGUAAUUUUCACACUUCCCCUCUUUUUGAAAGGGGAAAGAUUAGUGCAUGAAUUUUCACUUAAAUGUUUCUUGCUUUUUUAAAAAUGGGAUUAUAAAGAAUAUUAUAACAUGCUGUAAUGACAGUAUAUUUUAAAGUAAUAAACAUGGCAUAUUUAUGUUUUAUCUUUGAUAUAUUUUGAAUAAUCUACCCGGUAGUGAGAACUCUGAAAUAAAAACCAUUUUCCCCAAUAUUGUUAUGAUUAUAAACUUUUAAAAUGCCAGUUUUAAGGAAAACAUUUAAAAAAUUACUUUAAAAGAGUAUAUCUGUUGAAAAUCUGUCCUCAAGAAGAAUAAAACUUAAUCAUGUGUUUAAUUUUCUUUCAGUUUCCUUCUUUAUGUAUCUGGAAGAAAUUGAUCUUACUACAUCCCCCCCCCCGCCCCCUUUUUUUUUUCUUGCAAAGUAGGCCUUUCGCUCUUUACCCGAAGAGACUUUUUAUUUUUGAGACAGAUUUAGCUCUUGUUGCCCAGGCUGGAGUGCAAUGACGCAAUCUUGGCUCACCGCGACCUCCGCCUCCCAGGUUCAAGCAAU